UACGGGGGGGGCAAGCGUUGUUCGGAAUUACUGGGCGUAAAGGGCUCGUAGGCGGCUUUGCAAGUCGGGUGUGAAAGCCCUCGGCUCAACCGAGGAAGUGCGCCCGAAACUGCAGAGCUUGAGUACCGGAGAGGAUGGCGGAAUUCCCCAAGUAGAGGUGAAAUUCGUAGAUAUGGGGAGGAACACCGGUGGCGAAGGCGACCAUCUGGACGGAUACUGACGCUGAGACGCGAAAGCGUGGGGAGCAAACAGG
Molecule: ribosomal RNA, 253 nt
Filed under: uncultured bacterium
Lineage: Bacteria
Description: partial 16S ribosomal RNA
Rfam family: Bacterial small subunit ribosomal RNA
Source: RNAcentral